CUUUAGCCCCGAUAGAAGUGGAAAUCCUUGUGUGCCGGGGUUCGGCAUACAAGAUUGCAACGGAUAGCGGGACCCAUC
Molecule: non-coding RNA, 78 nt
Organism: Flavobacterium sp.
Lineage: Bacteria; Pseudomonadati; Bacteroidota; Flavobacteriia; Flavobacteriales; Flavobacteriaceae
Source: Rfam